RNAcentral lists this long non-coding RNA (204 nucleotides) under Lathyrus oleraceus (garden pea). Its description in RNAcentral is "Pisum sativum (pea) long non-coding RNA (PSAT_LNC035934)". Lineage: Eukaryota; Viridiplantae; Streptophyta; Magnoliopsida; Fabales; Fabaceae. The record is from RNAcentral.
AAAGGCUAAAAUGAAAUAGUGCAUUUUAUGAAAAUCAUUCCAAUUGCCAUGCAUGAUCCAUUAACACACAAUCUGCACGUUCAAUUCAUAUUUGGUGAUGUAUAGCUUGCAAUUCCAAUCAGAAUAGGGCCCUCCAUGCGCCUGUACAGGCCCAUGCAUGGAGGCCCUCUUCUCCCAUGCACACAAUUUUGAUGAUGCUUGCAG